GCUGAAUUCUAAUAACUAAGCAUCGUCAACAGGCAAAACAGGUUUAAUGUGACGAUGCAAAUUGGACAAUAGAUAGUUCUAAUCGAAUUAUCGUCGCGAACGCAAGUUUCCCCCCGUGUGACAAGUGUCAGUGCAAAAUAAAAGAGAAAAAAAAAUAAUAACAUUAAUAUUUUUAUGAAAAAACAGUGAACAUUUUACAGACAUCAAAAAUCAUCAACAUUACAAAAAAGAACACUGUGAAAUUGUUAACAUUAACUAAGACUUUUUACAACAUACAACAAAAAGGUGAAAAAUUGUACAGAAAACACAUCAAUCUAAAUAUGAAAACUUAAAUACAGAUUUAAAAACUUAUUAUCAAAUGAAUUAAAAUACAAAGUACAAUAAAAAUUAAAUAUAUAAAACUUAAAACUAAUUAUAAUAAUUCUAAAUUGCACAAAUCCCCAAAAAUGUUAUUAAGAAAAUAGAUAAAUAAAAGAUGGUGAAUUAAAAUUAAAAACGAAAAAAAUAUAUAUCUUUUAAAUGAAAAAAGGCUCAAAGGCAAAAAGACAAUACACAGGGUUACAGAAGAGACGUUAAAGAGGGAUAUCGAAGAGACAAUUUAGCCAAUGUCCCCACUGCGCUGAGGGCUGUUAAAAUUUGUAUUAUUGUGGUGCUUGCGUCAAAGGAAAAGGAACUUCAUAUGACUCUUUUAGCGGGAUUUGGCUUUCUUUCGUUUCUUUGAUUUUUAGGUGAGAUCUACUGGUUAUCUUUCCAGAUUGGUACUGUUGUCUGUUCCAAGGGUUACCCACUGGCCAUUUCCCAGGUCUUUUGGCCGUUCCCAGGACCUUUUAUUUGCCUGGAACCUCUGUGCCGCACCUGGCGAUACAAAAAUAAUUGUUGGGGAUGGAUGGUGUAAGUCAUAGAGUUAAGUUAGUUGUAUGUAAGAAGUAAAAGCGAAGUGUCGCAAACAUUAAAGAAUAAAAUUAAUAGAACUUAUGUGUGUUUUUCUAUUUUCUUAACUCACGUCACGACAAAAAUAAAGAAAAUGAUCAACUAAAAAACUAAAGGAAAAAGUAGUAUUUGUAUUGUCGUGCAAAAAACAAAAAGUGAAAAUAAAGGCCAACUGAUGUAUUCACUUUUGGAUGAUUCCAGCAGUGAAGAGGACUGGCUGAAUGAGGAAUCAGAUUAUUAAUUAUUAUUAUUGUAUAAGUUCGAUACGUUCCACCACAACUUUCCAAUACUCGUCAAUCACGGAUGCUGAUUGGCACACUGGCAUCUCCUCUACAAUUCGCUUGGCGGGUACCGUAGUGAGCGGAUCGCCGCAUAAAUUAUAUUUAGAAAAUACUAAUUUAUCUUUGUUUCAUUUCUUGAUUUUGUCUUUCUUUUAUCCUACAAUACACGCGCGAAUCACCCGCACCUCACCAAAUCCCUCAACUACACAUCGCAUAUCUCACAUCACAAAAAAAACUCUGGGGAGUUUUUAUUGUCUUACCGCUAUCGAAGCCAUUCUCCCCACUCCCCUAGAGUUAAGCAUUGGUCGCAUCGAGCCGAAUAGAAGCCUGUUGCCUUGCGUUUGUCGUUGCUCCCUUUAUUUGCAUGGAGAUUACUUGGAUCAUCUCUCAUCAUCAUAAUCAUCAACAUAUAUAAGACUAAAAACCAGGUACGUAAAUUCAGAUCUCUAUUUGAAGUGAGCUACCCGCGUUUGUUGGUGCGUAUGUUAAUUGUUUUUAUUCGAAACUACAUAAUAUUGGUCGAUUUUCAAUCACCCUUCGCGUGUGUCAUUGUAAUUCAAAUACAGUCUAUGCAACUAUUGUUGCAUUAAAUUGCAUUCGUUGUACUGAUCAUCCUUCGUCGCCGUGAUCAUACAUUUGCCUUUCGUUUGAAAACAAGUCAGUUGGUCGACUUAUAUUAACCCUUCUUGUGUUAAUAUAGUGCAUUCCCCUACAACAAUUAGUUCUGUUGUUAUGAAAAUAGUUAGCUUUGGUGCUCUUGCUCCGCUUCGAUCGUUAUUUGCAUUUCUAACCCUCAUUUCAAAUGUUGAACUCUUUGUGAGAAUAGAAAGUGCCCCCCUCGUUGUUGCUCUACUCCUUCGCCUUAGUUGAAGAAAAAUUUGCAUCACCACAGCAUACAUGCACAUUCUUUUAUAUUUGGUCGUUUGGUUUAUUUGUUGUUCAAUUUCUCACCAACCAAACGUUCGCUGUUGUUAUCCCUCUUUACGUUUCAAAGGUUGAGCCCUUUAACGAGAAUUGUUUGUUUCUAAUUAGCAAUAACAACACACUUGUAAUAACAGUGCAUCCAUCUGUCGAUUCGUUACUUUGUCGUCGUCACUAACGCGCAUUUAUUGUUGUUGCAAUUCUUCAUCGUUUGUUUCUGUCAAUUCUCACUUGAGAAUUUGUAUUGCCAAAAAUUGCAACAAAAAUACUUCAUCAUUCCACGCGCCCUUUUUAGCGUCGGUUUGAUAUACAGUAAAAGUAACAACAAAUUGUUUUGAUCUCCAACUCUCACUGUUGGAUCGUGGCGUCGCUUGUUGUGUGGGUCGUAGCUGCUUACGUAUAGUCAUUUCUCUGCCGACGUCGCUUGUGUUUUAUUCCUCUUUGUGCGAUAUCCGUUGUUGGUUCGGCACAUUGGGGUAAAACAGUACAAAUUGUGAUUUUUUUGUAAUAUAUUUUAGAAAUUAUUUCUUGUUAAUUUUGUGAUAUAUUUUUGACUAGUAGUAGGGUUUUUGGAAUUUUUGGACAAAUUCACCCUACAUUCGGCAUUCUUUGCAGAAACAUUUAGCAACAAAUAUUUGUGAAAAUUUAUCGUUUUUUGGCUAGUUUUGCAAAAUUUGUAAAUAUUAUUAAACGUUUGCAACUCUACGUAAGGUUUUUGGAAUUUUUGGACAAAUUCACCCUACAUUCGGCAUUCUUUGCACAUAUUCCAGUAAAAUAUAUUCGUUGAAACUUUUAGAUUUUGGCUAUUUUCUUCAAUUCUUUGGGCAAUUUAUUAAUAGUUGUUAGUACUAUUUGAGAAUCUCUGUAGGGUUUGGGUAUUUUUUGGAAGAAUACACCCUACUUUCGGCAUAAUCUUGAAAAAUUGUCAAAAAUUGCAUUAAACAGUCUGUACAGCUACUCAAUUUGCAGCACAUUUACACUAACUUUGGAUAAAUAUCGUACUGGUGGUAAAUUUUUGGAAAUUUGUCAUACAUUUUGAAAAAAAAAAAACAAUAAAUACCCUAUCAUUGGCAUAACCAAAGCAUUAAUUUUCGUAAUUUAUUGAUAUUGGAGCAAUUUUAGUAACAUUUGUCACAUAGGAAAAGAUUUUCUUAAUUUCUCUCCUAUUGAACAAUAUUUAUAACUUUUUGAAGUAUUUGGAGGUUUUAGUUUUGGAAAUUUCUCAUUUUCCUUCCUUUUGCAUACCGUUUGUAUUUUUUUGUCAUACAUUUAGUAACAAAAUGUCGAUCACUCCGCUCACACGUUUUACUAGAGCCGCUGACAUUGUUCUGAGGAGUGUAGACUAUUUUGAACAAAUUGAUGUCACACAGUUCAGUAUUUACAGCCUCGAAAUUCGACUUUCUGAAAUUCAAGAAUUAUGGGAAAAAGUUCAGAACACUUUUACUGAGUGUAAAAACUACCUCACGGCAUCCGAGACUGCACAGGCUGACCUUUUUGAUGUCGUUGAGGAUAAAUACAAUAAUGCAUUUAUUGCAUACCAUUGGUGUUUGACCACCAUAAAAAUGCAUUUCGACCGCCUUAAAUCCCCAAUAAGUGAUAAUUGUUAUCCUGCUGCGGCUCCUCAGACCUUGCCUCCUGAAAACUCCACUAUUGCAGUUAAUAAUGAUAAUGUGACACCAACUUCAGGCUUGCUUUCGAGCGAACCUAUCUUAUCGGUUCCUGUGCAGUCUGCUUCUCCACCCGUUAAUACUUGUUCCAAAUCUCCCACUAAUAAGAAAUCCAAUUCACCCUUCGAUAAUCAUUGUUUCAUGUUGCCACCUAUUGAUAUCGAAGUCUUUGCUGGUGAUUUUGUAUCUUGGCCAACUUUUCGAGAACUUUUCACCACCCUGUUCGUUAGUAAUUCAGGCCUUUCCAACAUAGAACGUCUUUGUCAUCUUAGGCAGAAGACUAUCGGUGAGGCUCGAGAAAUCGUAGAAAGAUUUCCCCUAACUAAUUGUAGUUUCCAUUUAGCUUGGAAAGCUUUGUCGGAUGCGUAUGAUAAUAAACGCAUCCUCGUAAAUAGUUAUAUCAAAAGUUUCUUUGACACUCCUUCCUUAGAUAUAGAAACUAGUCAAGGCUUGAAAAAUGUCCAAAAUGGAAUUAAUAGUUGUCUCGCUGCAAUGGCCGCCUAUGAUGUCGCCACGGAUCAGUGGGAUCCAAUCAUUGUAUAUAUUUGUUUGCAGCGCUUGCCCUUAAACACCUUGACUUUGUGGGAGCAAAUUAUCAGAAAUUAGUCGUUGUUGCCUUCCUGACCAGAAGUAGAUGCUUUUCUCACCGAAAUAAUACAAACUUUGCAAUGUAUUCAACAUAUUCGAAGAAAUCUGCCCAAAAACAUUGUUUCUUCCAAAUUCUUGCCUAAAUCGUUAUCAUCACAAAAUGUUUCACCUCAUCGCUCCUCCUCUAGAUCGUUAGCAUCUAAGCAUGCUUGUACAUCUAGUUCCACCAUUAACAGGUCAUUGAUACAUGAUUCAAAAUGUGUUGCUUCUUCUCCUCGGCCAAACACUUAUUGCCCAAUUUGUCGUAACCAAAGUAAUAUGCUCGGACUUUGCUCACAGUUCAGAAAACUUUCGUUUGAGGACAAAUUCUUAAUUGUGAAAAAGAAUGAACGUUGUAUCAACUGUCUAACAUGUGACCAUGUAGUGAAAAAUUGUCAUAGCACAAAUAGUUGCAAAUCUUGCAAUCAAAGGCAUCACAGCCUUCUUCACCGGCCACAAAUUAGUAGAUUUGUUGCAGAAUUAUCAUCAAACCCAUCUAUGGUAUCUACUAACAUUAAACAGAGUAAGUAUUCACCUUCCUGCAUGUCUUCCCAAACACUCGGUUUCAAAUCCAAGAAUAUACCUUCGGCUCUUACCACAGUCAAAAGUCGAGGUUUAAAGACCCCUCCGGCUUUUACAAAGGUCAAAAAUCCAGGUUCAAAGACCCCUUCGGCUUUCACAAAGCCAAAAGUCGAGGUUCAAAGACCCCUCCGGCUUUUACGAAGGUCAAAAGUCGAGGUCGAAAGUCCUCUAGAACGCACCCACCCUCUGUUAAAAAUAAUUCUAACAGUCAGUCUCCCAACACCAUUGAGAAAAUGUGCUCUUGGGAACUGCACUAGUAAACAUUGUUCAUAAUGGUAAAUCUUACACUGCAAUUGUAGACCCUUCUUCUAAGGCAUCAAUUGCUAGUAAAAAACUUAAAAAAAAUUUGGCAUUUUAACUCGCUCUGAAGCUACUCGCUCCAAAACUGCUGCACCAAGAGAAGUUUGUUCUCUUCAGUUGUCUUCUCCAAAAAAUUCAUCUAGAAUAGUCGAAACUAGAGUUUUAGUCAAGCCUAAUGUCACCGGGAAAUUGUUUUCUCUUCCACCCAUGACAAAUUUAAAGACUAGAAUUCCUAAUCUUGAUUUAGCGGAUUCUUUCGAUAAUAGCCCAAUAGAUUUGCUACUUGGCGCUGACUUGUAUCCUAAAAUUUUAGAACCUUGGCGGAUACCGUAGUGGGCGGAUCGCCGCUGGGUAUUGGUUGUUGGCGGUGGGCUCACCUUGCUCUCAUUGGAAGUAGUUGUAGUUGUAAUAAUAUACAGACAUGGGACCCUCUGCGUUCACUUGUCUGUAUUUGCAUAUGUAUUAGAAAUAGACAAGGGAUCCUCUGCGAUGACUUAGAACCUCUGCGUUCACUUGUCUUUGAGAAACGAAAGCGAAAGCACACAGGCCCCUGCCGCCACCCCAAUUACUGAAGGUAAUUUGUUCUUUGAAAAGAAAGAGUCACAAUAAAGCAUAAAUUAUAUUUAGAAAAAUACUAAUUUAUCUUUGUUUCAUUUCUUGAUUUUGUCUUUCUUUUAUCCUACACUACACGCGCGAAUCACCCGCACCUCACCAUAUCCCUCAACUACACACCUCACACAUCAUCUCACAAUCACAUAAUAACUCUGGGGAGUUAUCGUUGUUGUUACUGCCGCUGUCGAAGCCAUUCCCCCACUCCCCUGAGUUAAACAAUUAUAGAUUAUUAAUUUUAACUUUUCGUCUUCAAUACUCAUUUUUUCAAUUUUGGCGUCCUUUUCAGUAAGGUUUAACCAGUCCGAUUUAGACUGUUUACUUUUGGAAUUUUGACAUUUGUUACAUUCUGCCUACGCGGCGUUAUGGUGGGGUUCCGCACUAGCUCAGGAGGGAGCGGUUAUCCAGGGGGUUCUCAACCCUGCCACUAUCAACCCUAGGGAAUGAACACUUAAGGAAUUGUACCGGAAUAAACACAAACAAAGAAAAACUGAAAAUAAACAUACACAACAUAGACCUAUGACACAGGAGCUUGAUAUUAUUGCUCCCCCACUAUGCCCACCCAUCCUUGGCCCUUUAGUCCAAAUACACUCAAAAAAAUUUUAAAGGGCCCCAAAACCUCCUCUCUCACAAGCAAAAUUUAACACGACAUAUUCUUGAAACCAUUAGACAUUAAACUUAUUUAUUAGAAUCAUUAUUGUUCUCUUAAAACUAAUUUCAACAUGAACACAUAAAAAAACUGGACUAUUAAUACCCGAACAAAAAAUUUUUGUCAAUACUCAGAUUACCUUUUUUUAUUACACUGCUAGAAGCGCCAAAUUUUGGCCAAUACAACUACUCUCAAUUUCUGCCUAAAGGAGCUCGCUUAGACGAAUGUUUUGGGCAUUCUAAAUUUUUGUCCCAAAAAAAUAUAGAAAUGGUCUAGCUGUAAUUUUUGAUACAACCCUACACUCACUAAGUAAAAUUUACCUGGGCAUUAAUUAUCCUCACAAUGACACCUUAAGCACUAUUGAUCUAUCUACAAUAACAAACAAAUACUUUUCUUAUAAUUUUUUUCUUUUGGUCAGAUUCGGAUAGACAUUAAUUGACGAAUUUUUUCUAUUUCAGUGGUAAGUAACAUAAAUUUUGAAUUAUAUUACCUUCACAACGGCAUACUUA
Musca domestica (house fly) is the source of this 7075-nucleotide long non-coding RNA. RefSeq lists it as uncharacterized. NCBI's taxonomy places the organism in Eukaryota, Metazoa, Arthropoda, Insecta, Diptera, Muscidae. The transcript has 4 exons. The record is from RefSeq and is a predicted model, not a curated record.